UUUCUACUCCCUCCGUCCAAAAAUACUUGUCAUCAAAAUGGAUAAAAAGAGAUGUAUCUAAAACUAAAAUACGUCUAGAUACAUUUCCUUUUAUCCAUUUUGAUGACAAGUAUUUCCGGACGAAGGGAGUAUUUG
This is a non-coding RNA of Triticum aestivum (bread wheat), 135 nucleotides long. NCBI's taxonomy places the organism in Eukaryota, Viridiplantae, Streptophyta, Magnoliopsida, Poales, Poaceae. The record is from Rfam.